Molecule: non-coding RNA, 4540 nt
Organism: Poecilia reticulata (guppy)
Lineage: Eukaryota; Metazoa; Chordata; Actinopteri; Cyprinodontiformes; Poeciliidae
Source: RefSeq, a predicted model, not a curated record
UAGAAACAAAGUUGUGUACUGACUUGACAGAUGGAAGUGAUGGAGAUGAAAUGCGACUUCUUCUAACCAGCUGGCUAAAUCUGGAUUUUGUUGAAGUGUAUUUUGUUCUGUUUUAGCACUUAGAUAAGCAAAUUUUAAUAUUAGACAAAGAUUAUAUUUAGGCCACACCAACUUUGGUGUACAUGGGGAAAGUAAUUGCCCUCCAUAUCUACUGAUUGCUUGUCUUUUAGAGCACCAUGGGAAACUUUUGUGCUUUUUUUAUUGGGUAAUUGUUUGAGUUCAGCUAAAUUGGAAGGUUUUUAAGAUUACUUUAUGUUGAGGUGGAUUUGCUAUUUUGCUAAAGAUUAUUGUCCUGCUGUGUUACUUAAUGUGCUUCAGGUUAAGGUCACAAAUUAAUGAAUAGUUUUUUCAAUCAACAAGUCAUCCUGGUUAUCCUAUUCACAUUGAAAUGCUUGAGUGUCGACAUUAUAUUUUUCUAAUUUGCUAUCUUAGGUUUAUGCCAAAUGUAAUCUUUCAGAAAGUUAAUAUUUUUUCAAAGAGUUUGGGACAAUCAAGUUCUCCUCACCAAUGGUUGCCAUUUUUCUAAUUUGCAUAGAAAUGCCUUUUUAACACUUAAUGACUUUGUUUCUCUUCUGUUAUUGUUUGGGGGAUUUUUUUUCAAUCGCAGUCUGAUGUGUUGCUUUUGAAAUAUUUUAGUCUACUUUGUGUCGUAAAAGAGGUUCUACUGAAGUUAUUUAUUGAUCUAAACCUGCCCGGUUGUAGAUAGGAAAACUGCACCUAAAAAUUGGACCAAUCAAACUUAAUUAAUGUCAGAAUAAGUGGGCGAUUAUAUUUCUACAAAGGUCUGGAUAACUUUUUUGAAACUCUAAAAACGUAUUUAUAGUGGGAAAGCGCUGCUAAAAUGACGAAAUGAAGAAAAUUCAACUGUAAAAGCUUUGAAUUAUGGAUCCGAGACGGUGAGUCGCUGAACUUGAUCCUUUUGUUUAGAUUGUCAAAUAAGAAGGUGGGCUAGGAAAAGGGAAUGAAGCAAAACUGAAUAUUCACAAGAAGAAGACAAAAUUUAAUUUAAAAUUGUUUUCUUCAGGAAAACAAAUGAUCAAUUUGUGAGAAGAAAAAGGUUUCAGGGAGAUAGUUUGAUGAGGUUUACACAGGAGUCAAAGAAAGGGAGGGAGUGAGCGGGGGUAGCAGGUUCAGCGACACAAACAAUGUUACCCUCGCUACAUUUCACAUCAAGCCCAGCAGGCGACAACAAUGGCAUCAGCAAGGCCCUUCCAUCUCUAAACAUUGCCAGAUUUCUCUUUGGCUGUUUUCAGUGUGCAUUACAAUAAAAGGGAGGUUUUUCUGUUUUUUAUUGUGCUCAGCAGGUAACAACUCUUGCAAAUACAAAGGUUGCGGCUGCAGCAACUUGGCAACCAGCUGCCAGUAAAGUACAGUGCUUUGAAAAAGCGUUUCCGAUUGCUUUUGUAUUUGCUUCCUUAUCACAUUUUAGAUAAUCAAGUGCAUUUUAAUGUUACAUUCAGAUGUCCUAACUUAAUACAGAAAGCUCUUUUCAAAUAACGAUUUCCAAUGCAGUUUGAUCAAUUGUUGAAAAUUAUUACCUCCUACAUAAAAUAAAAACUCUUGAAAUUAGCAGCGACCACAAAGUUUUGGCUAAAGUUACCGGUUUCCCAAAGGGACUCUACUGAGAAGCUGGCUCACCAAGUCACGGCCCAGAUUGCUGCUGCUGAUUGCAGGGUUAAAGAGGCCCCAGGUGACCCUCAUGAGGAGGAAAAGGAUGAAGCGCACAAAAGUAGCAAAGGCCACGUAAGCGAACCUGCAGCCGAAUGCCCCACUUCUACUGAGUUCUUGACAGUGCGGAGUUGCUUAUGGAAAUCAAAGGAAAGGACAACCUUUGUGGAGCAUAAAUGCUCCAAAAAGAACUGAAAUGCUAAACAAAAGGAAGACAGAAAACGAACUGAAGAGAUUGAGAUCUCCAGACUAAAUCAGAAAGCUUUCUUGACCACCCACUUCUGUUUUGACUCAUUGGUCACUGUACUGACUGUGACUGUACAUCUUUCCUAUAGAUGUGUUGGCAGAUCGCCCCCACUGCCGUUUUCCUAGUUUAACUCUAUCUGGUUUGAGUUCGUAGGCAGCUCAAACUAGUUACUGAUUAAACUCUGUAUGUUUAACCCACCACUGUCUCACAUUCUUCAGUCAAUGCUUUCCAAAUAGCAAUUACUUCACUGCAUGAUAAUGCUUUGCAUACCAGUCACUACAACUAAUACUGCUAAUACUACUACCACCAGGCCUGAUAACUAGGAGAAGAUUAACUUAUAUUUACCAUUUUGUGCUUGAAUCUUUCUUCUUUCAUAUUCUUCCCCUGCUGUCUCUUCCAUAUUAUUAUUUUUAUUAUUUUUAUUUUACUUCACCAGGGUGCAGAUAAUCCUUCUAUAGAAGGCUAACAGUGACACAAAUCUCCAAAAUUAAUGUUAUUUAAUUCAUUGUUACUAAUACCAAAUCAACCUUCCUUUGAGGCAGCUUAGCUCCGCCCCUUGACAAUUUUUUAAAAAUUCCACUAAAGUGGGCGGAGUCAAGUUACACAAAGGGGCGUGGCUUUAUGCAGGGAUGAGUGGAAGGGGUUAAGCAGAGCAAUGAUCAGAACAAGAGAAAACACUUUUGCAAAUUUAAUGAUUUUGUAACUAUAUUUAUAACUUUUCAGACCCCUCUAGCAACUUUAUUUUCAAAAAAGCGACUAAUGACAAAUGUAUAGACUUUUUUCUCCGUUAUUGGAGACUUUUGAGAUAACAGAUGAAAUGUCUAACACAGUGGAAAGGAGUCCUAUUCCAACCUGUUUUCACAUCUGUAAAUUAAAUACACGUGCAAAACUGAGAAAUGCUAAUUGAUCAAUAAUCACACUCUUACAAUUCCAAUUACUGACCAACCCGGGGCAUCUUUCUGACUGAGAUUCUUUUAUAUUUAAAUGCAGUACUCUAAAAUAGACAUCCACCAAACUGUAACAUUGUAACCAAUAAGAAAUGUUAUUGGUUACAGUUGCAACUGCUGGACUGCAGUUGCAACUAGUCAACCCAAAGAGGGCAGCUCUGAGACAAUUUUAGGUCAAAUGUUGCAGAAUUAAACAAAUUUAGAUGAAAAUGUAACAGAAAAGACAGCAAUUUAUAAAGCUUAUGUAAAAAAAAAAAAGAAAAAAAAAAUGAUUAUUUGGAGUUUUGUUAUUCUUGAAAUAUGCAGCACUAGACACAUUACAAUUUUCACACUGAUGGGCCUUUUUCAUGUAUUAAAUUAUGGCACUUUUGAAUUCCCGUACAGGAUGGUUGAUCAUAACAUUGUGUUAUAUGCUUAGAUUUGGCCGACUUUCCUUUAGCUGUUGAGAUUCAGCAGAUUCUUCAUUUUAUUUAAAUCUGUUCACCUUCAGCUACAGAUCCAAACAUUCAGAUCAUUCAAACAUUUCCUAUUGAACCUGUUCUAAAAACAACUGCCUCUAGUAAAUAUACAAAACAUAUUUUUGACAAAACUGCUGUUUCUGUUAUUAGAACAAAGAACAUAAAGAUGAGAAGCCAGUUAUCCUGGAUCUGGAAUAAUUCAGUUUGUUGCCCCUUUUGGUUGCCAUGACUACUAACAUUACUAAUACUAAUACUAAUACUAAUACCACUUAUGCUGCUUCUGCUACUAUUUCUAAUCAAAAUAAUAAUGAUAAAGAAAAAUAAUGCCAUAGUGUAUGCAAAAAAAAAAUCAAAGAUGUUAAUGGAAAUAUGUGCAUUGCAUGCACUCAAAAGAUAUUUGAUCUUUAAGGUUGUUGUUUUUGUGAAAUAAUUGUUUUUUUCUCUCUUUUAUUUAUUCCUCAAAGGAAAUAUAUCACAAGAAAAUAUAAAGUUUUAAUUCAUUUAAAUUUUGUUUUAACAAUUUGUACCAAAACAAAGAAUCGUUACUCUUACAAUUAUCAGACUGCAUGUCAAUAAUUGAGGUUAGUAAUUUGUUCUGCCUUGUUAAUUGGGAUAGACCAUGCAUUUUUGAUUUGAAUAAAGAAAUGAGAUGCUCACACAGAUUGGGAUGAUGUUUUAAGCUCAGAUUGAUAUGCUUACACUCUUUUAUUUCUCUUAUGAUGAAGCUACUUUCAUCUGGAAGUGGAAAUAUUAAAUAAAUUAAAUUAAAAUCUUUGUGUAAUGAAAGGUAUUUUAGGCAUUUAUUCAGACUGGUAAGUAAAAUAAUCUUAACUGCUGUGACUUCAGGAGGAUCUCACUAUCCUUCAUUCUCCAUGUCAUCUUUUGUGCUGCAACUAUGACUAACUUGAAUAAAAAGUGACAACAGAAUAAAUUGCAGGCCAAUUUUGCUUCUCUUCUAAAAAAAUAUAGAAUAAUUCAUGUAGUUCUGUUACAUUUCUGUUCACAAUAAGGCUGAAAAUAAAUGAAAGAAUUUGGAAAUGCAUAUCAGAAAUCUGCAGUUAAUGCAAAGGCACUGUGAAGAUCUAUGAAAUGUAAAUGUUUACUAUGUUUACUCUGUUCUUUUCCUCUUAUGCCAAAUAAAUUGAUUUUUUGGAGGUGUG